AGAAGCCAUGUCCUCAGCAACUUUGUCAUGGAAACAAUAUCUUAUCUCCUAGUUCUUGGUACUUCCUGGUGGAAAACAUUGUUAAUCUUUGUCUUUGCCAUCAUACUCAUUGGCAUAUUGCUGUGCUAUGGCAUUUUGCUGCAUCAAUAUGGUUCCAGUACUAAUGAAUUCUUGUUUCUCUUAUAGACCAUCCAUCACUCAAAUGGCCCUCCAGCCUAUUACUUCUCAAUCAGACUUCUAUCAUGGACCACUCGAUAGACCCAAUUUUUAAAGGGGGACUCCAAACUGCUUGCCCCACACCGUCCCUUUUCAGCCUGAAGAAGCCAGAGAGAUUCUCUUCGCCCCACUUCCUUACAGCAGUAAGGAGUUCCCAACUUAGAGGGGGGAAUGAAGCCAGAUUUAAAGUUAGGUAGUCAGUGUAGUUUUUUUAGAUUUCACUCAGUAUUAGAUUUCACUCUAAUACCCAGUGAAAUCUAAAAUGGAGGCCAUGCUGGCAAUGAUUCCGGAAACGCAGGACAACUCAAGGAAUGUUAAUGAAGUCCGAAAAGGCCCUAGGCCAAAGUCCACCUCAAAGAAAUGUUAAUGAACAGCCCCCAGCAAAAAGGUGCUGACUCAGAAGUCCUUCCUGACCAGAUUACUUCUUUGGCCCACCUGUGUCCCACCCCUCGGGCCUUCCAACCUACAUUCCAU
RNAcentral lists this long non-coding RNA (690 nucleotides) under Marmota monax (woodchuck). The record is from RNAcentral. Lineage: Eukaryota; Metazoa; Chordata; Mammalia; Rodentia; Sciuridae.